GGGGGGUGUACUUUGCUAACAAACCUUCCCCUUGGGAAACGAUUUAAAUGGGAAAGUGUUGGGGUAAAUAGUGUUGUGGUGAGAGUUACUGACUAUACCGGCUGGGGGUCACGAAGUGCAAGCGGCUCGGGCUGGCUGAUCUAUUGGUUCUCUCUGUAUUUAAAACAAAGGAUAUUUGUGGUGGCUGGAUGGGCUGGGCGGCUCGGAUGGCUCAGGCCGGUGUUACGUUUUGGACCCUACCAUUAUUUGUCAGUGUCAUGUGGAUGCAUUUGGAAAUGCGUGCACAUGGAGGUGUGUACGGGGGAUGGACAUGUGUCUUGGCGGAUGGAUGUUUGUCUGCUUGUCCGCACGCAUGGACAUGGGCUCAGUAGGACCGAGGUGCCCCACCCACACCAAUGCCUGUCAGUGCAUUUCCAGAACAAGGGUCUCCUUUAUGUGGCUCCGGGGAGAGAGCUGGUCCUGCAGACCCAGUUCCAGAUUACACCAACAGAGAAGAUCAUCAUGGUGAUUUGGGACCGCCAGACUGAGAAGGGUCAGGGACAGGUCAGGCUGGCCAAUCACCAAGAUGCACCUGGCAAUCCUCUAGACCAGAAGGAGGCCUCAUUUAGGGUGGAGAAUAUAAGUUCAUCUGACUAUGGAAUGUACACCAUCACUGUGACUGACCAGAUGGGGAACGAGCAAUCAGCAAAUAUACUUGUUAGAGAGAUUGUUGCUGCUCCUGUAGCGUCUUUGUCGCUCCAGUGUGAGGUGGCCAAUGACAGGGCACAGUGGGACAGCCCAGUGUUUUCCUGGUUGGUGGAUGGGGUAGAGCUGUCCAAUCAGACAGACAAUCUCUCUGCAGAUGGCAGGAGACUCUACGUGUCCGGAAUGAAGGGCCACAACUACACCUGUGUUGUCAACAGCAGUCUGGGGACAAGUGUCACAUACUACGUCACUGAUUCUCCUACACCAUCCCAAAGUAUCCAAUCCUGUAACACUCUGUGUGGUGUAUUACUGGGCUUCAUCAUAGCGAUUCUAAUCACAUGUGGAUAUCUCUACUGGAAAUGCAGACAGCGGAGGACAUGACCUUAGGAGGGCCAUCGCGUUCCGUUAUCAGUCUUAUUUAUGGCACUUAUUUAUGGCACUUAUUAAUGGCACGCUCACACAAGUCUUUAAUAUUCUAUUGCAAUAAGUCACACUACCAGACCAAAUAUGAUUCCUAUCAAGAGCUGUGGCCCUAUUCACCAUCACUAAAAUAUAUUUAUAUGCCUAUUUAUCAAAUUAAAAUUGUAUUGGUCACAUACAUAUAUUUAGCAGAUGUUAUUGCGGGUAUAGUGAAAUGCUUGUUAUUGGUGUAUUACAUUUUACAUUUACGUCAUUUAGCAGACGCUCUUAUCCAGUGCGACUUACAAAUUGUAUUUCUAUGCCUAUUUGUGGUAUUUAUUGAUGCAGUGUCCACACGUAUAUUUUGACUAAUUAUAUCUUUGUAUCUUUUUUUUUGAAAGUACUCUAUGCCAUCACAUUUACAUUGUGCACAUGUACAAAUGAACCUAAACUUAAACCUACUUUUGUGAUGAUAUAAAGCAAAUGGGAAAAAAUUCACAUUAUUGUGACGGAGCAUGUGUGGAUUUAACCUAUUUCAUAACCUGAUAGGAAAUCUUUGAAAGCGUCCACUUUGCUACACUUCCAUAGGAGACAGUGAAGAGACAUAGAAACACAGCAGUCUGGAUGAGUGAGGAAAAGCACAGCACCACCUAUUUAAUAGCGCCAUCCACUGGCUUGUUUUAGAAAUUCCUCUAUUCAAAAUAUCACUUCAAUUUGUAACUUUGGUUUUAGAAGUGGGGGGGGGGAUAAAAAAUCCAAACAUCCUACCUGACCGCUCGGAGUCGUCUGCAUGGUCCUAAAGAACACCGUUGCCUCGUUUUGUAUGACAUUCUAAUGAUAAAACUGGGGGGGGACAAAAAAAUGGAUGUCAUUGUCAUUCACAGAGAACUUGAAUUGGAAAUACUGUACCGUAUUGUUAUUUGUUUUUGCAAAUGUAGAUAAGAUGAUUUAAUUAAAGUCGCACUCCAGUCUCCUUUUCACCUGAUUUACUUAACAAAAGGCACUUGGUGGUCCAGGUAUGUUCAUGACAUAGCACAAGUGGAGGGUGGGCCUUUCUGCAUUUGUUCUCUAUUGCUUCUCUAUUGUUUCUGCAAGCAAUAGCAGAGACCGAUGACAUUAGAGGGCUAUCAGCCCAACUCCUUGAAUGGCCUACUCCAAGCACGAACCACCACAUUUAACCUUGGCAAGGUGACGGGGAAUAUGGUAGAAUACAAAUAGAGUAGUAGUUCCCUCUGCAAGGCAAUCAAACAGGCAAAACGUCAAUAUCGAGACAAAGUUGACUCGCAAUUCAACAGCUCAGACAUGACACAUAUGUGGCAGGGUUUACAGACAAUCACUGACUACAAAAGGAAAACCAGCCAAGUCGCUGAGACCGCCGUCUUGCUGCCAGACAAGCUAAACACAUUCUUUGCCCGCUUUGAGGACAACACAGUGCCACCGACGCGGCCAGGUACCAAGGACCGUCGGAUCGCCAUGGACGACGUGAGUAAGACAUUUAAACGUGUUAAUCCUCGCAAGGCUGCCAGCCCAGACGGCAUCCCUAGCUGCGUCCUCAGAGCAUGCGC
This 2648-nucleotide long non-coding RNA is filed under the name Salmo salar (Atlantic salmon). RNAcentral's name for it is "lncRNA (ENSSSAG00000107676.1)". The record is from RNAcentral. Lineage: Eukaryota; Metazoa; Chordata; Actinopteri; Salmoniformes; Salmonidae.